UCGUGACGUACGAAGCCGCACGAGAUCGCCCCCGCUGACAACCUCAUAUAGAAGAUGCCGCGAUCUCUUGCGAUCUCGCUACCUCCAGGAUCGGCGUCUGUCGCCACCACCAACCUCCGGGAUUGGCAUCUCUCGCUACCGCCGAGGUACGGGAUCCCGCAUCAUACCAGAGAAGACACUGUCUACGGAGUCCGGGAUCGACGCCGCGGACGUAAGGGAUCACCAUCGCCGACCUUCCAGACGAGACGUCGCCGCCGCCGACCUCCGAGGGGAGACGCUGCCGCCACCUGUGGUAAACCCUAGGAUAGGGCGGUUUCAACUUUCAACCCCAGGGCAGGCCGACAACUUGUCGAUUUGUUGUUCUUCCCUUAUAAGAUCCUUGAGGAUAGGUGCGGCAACUAGCGACACAUGCUGGAGCUUCUGGCGGCGGCAUUACCUGUAUCCACCUCUCCCUGGUCGCCUUUAAGAGUGUGUGCGGUCGACCGUUAAGCUUGUCAUGACGCCCUUUGAAUUUCUGGGCAAGUCGCAGCCUUUUCAGAUUUAUCAACACAAGUUACAUCAGUAGUCAAUAUGGUUCAGAUGCAUAAUAUUGCAGGGUGGAAGUUGUUGAUGUUGUUCAAUUGUAUGCUGCCCCUUGAGGGGAAGCCGUGCGUGCGCCCAGUGAGGAGAAGCGGCAAGGGCUCCAGGUGUGAGAGGCUGAAGCUCGGGGACGACGACAUCAUGCACAAGAGGGCAUACAGGAGGUUGUCCGAAUUCAUGUUCCUCAUGCUCUGAAGGACCAAAGGGAUUUAGGUGGUCAACUCUGAAACUUGGAAUUGUUGUUUCUUUUCUGAAAAAUCUGAACUUCCGCAUAUGUCUCAUCCCUGAACUUUGACGCUUGACUUGAUUGUGCCCAGUUAAAAUGGAUGAGAAGGCCCGUCUAGGUGUACCUGUGCCACAUGUGUACGAUUGUCAGAAAUUGAUUUUUUUGUGUGUUGUCUCUUUACUCCCCCGCCUACCUCAAUGGCAGAUGUGAAGAACCACCUCAACCAGAUGUGCUUUGCCGCGUCAUGCUAGAACUAUAAUUGCCGGCUGCCGUGCAAAACCACCUUUGGCGAUCAAGAUUGAUGACCUGAUGUCACAUGGCGGCUGGUUAGCCGGCGGCGGCUGGAGCCAUCAUUGACCACGACCGUGCCAGGAGCACCCGGGAAAAGGCGAGGACAUGUUGGUACUGAUGGAAUAAUGUAGAUUGGGUCGUCUUCCUCCAGAAACAUAUUACACAAUAUACUUAAGUCGAUUGAUCCUAUUUGGUAAAAAUGCCCCUCAUUUGCUUGAUUAAACUCUACUUGGUAAAAUUAAUUGAGUUGGGAACAGUAACAUAUAUACAUCUACUAUGUCUGGUAUCUAUCUGGUUAUAUUAAACUGACAGUUUAUUCUUCUUGCUGGAAGGAUAUGUCGUGAAAGAUGAUCCAGAUGCUAUUAAAGUUGUAACCUUUGACUGUCCAUGUGAGUUAAUUCUAUGAACAAUACUAGUAAUCCUUGACCUAUGUCCACUUAAUGGUCCUCUCACCUUGAAUCAUAUCAAUCUGCUAUCAAUGCCAAAGACUUAGCUUCGAUUGCUCACCACCCGCUUAAAUCUAUUUUUUUGACCACCUCAAUCUUUCUUGAAUUUUUUGACACACCGAGCAGCAUCGCAAGUUAAUUCAAGGAAUUGUUCUUCUAAAACAUGUAUUCUUUCCUGUCCACGAAAUGUAAUGCUUUGUACGAAACAAUCAGCCUUAAAAACAAAUUAGUAUUGAUGUUCUUUUAAAUAUUUAAGUCGAAAACUGGAAACUUAUAUGUGUUAAAUUGUGUUGAAAAGUAAUCCCAAAAAUAUUACAUUUUUGCUAAGAAUUGGUAUAAAAAAUCAGAAAUACAGAAGUAAUAUGUAGAAGGUAGUACCCUAGAGAGAUGUGUAUGUUUAAUUGUGAUAUUCUUAGGAGUACCUUUGUGGAUCUGAUAUAUCUUUCUUUUGUAGGAUAUGGUUGCUCUUGCUUCAUCUAAAUAGUAUGUCUGGACUGCCAUGAGACCGCGAUUGGUGUAGGAAAUCUUGAAAGCUAUCAUAUUGGUCACAAGAACUUGCAAUACAUCAAUGCACUAUUCUUUUGAAUUUUUUAGUGACACCACAACUACCACCUCUUCACUAAAUGACAGAGGUUGCUAGCAACUGCACCUAGAAAGAUUGUAUUUAGAGGUAUGUUUCCUGUAUCAAGUGCAUGUCAAGGGUUGAAAGAAUUAAUUCGUACAACAUUAUUCACUGGAGGUAGCAUCACGAUGACACAUAAUUAAGGGCUCAUAUUAAUUGGGAGUGUCUAAAAAUUUACCGGCUAUUCUGAUGUUCCAUAAAUCGUUAGUUUACUGAAAAAGGAAGGAGCUACCAUCGUGCUUUGAUUGUGUUCAUCCUGGACUAAUCAUGACCAAUUUGAUGAGCUCUCCUUUGCUCUGAUGAGUAAGCUCUCGAGCUAAUUCUUUCUUCUGAAUAUAUUUGUUACUCCCUCCGUCCAGAAAAACUUGUCACAAGCUUGUCCCUCAAAUGGAUGUAUCUAGCACUAACUUGGUGCUAGAUACAUCCAUUUAAGGGAUAAGCUUUUCCGGACGGAGGGAGUAAAUGUCAAGUUUAAGCUAUACAACAGUUUCAUGCCUUUAUUUCUCCACAACAUUAUGAAUUAUUAUUUUCACCUGUAGACUGUACCCCAAAUUCUUCCAUACUCUAAUGAUCUUGUGUUCAAGGAGCAUCAACUACAUGUUAUGUCAGGCUUGACCAUAUCAGGUGAAGGGAGUGACAAGCAAGUACUUUGUUGACAAUGAGGAGAAGACAAGCAAUAUGAAAAGAUAACCAUGUACACAACACAGAGAAAAUGUUGACUAUUCUUCGCAUCCUACCUAUUGGUAAUGAGAGAAUAUAGCACUGUUUAUUUGAGUGAUGUGACCUAUAAACUUCCCUUUAGUUUGCAUUUCAGUAUUCUGGUUUUGAUGCCCUGGGGGUACACAAGGUUUUCCAUUUAGUUGUGUUCAACACUAAAAAAUGAUAUAUCAUUUUGCCCUUCAUAUACUAAAUCAUCAGAGUGUGCACGUCUAUUUGAGCUCUGUUUUUUAUUAAACUAUAAGGCCACUAUAG
Molecule: long non-coding RNA, 3136 nt
Organism: Triticum aestivum (bread wheat)
Lineage: Eukaryota; Viridiplantae; Streptophyta; Magnoliopsida; Poales; Poaceae
Exons: 6
Source: RefSeq, a predicted model, not a curated record